GAUGAACGCUAGCGACAGGCUUAACACAUGCAAGUCGAGGGGCAUCGGGACGUAGCAAUACGCUGCCGGCGACCGGCGGAUGGGUGAGUAACGCGUAUGCAACCUGCCCACGACAGGGGGACAGCCCGUUGAAAGACGGAUUAAUACCCCAUAAAACAGGGGUUCCGCAUGGGACUAUUUGUUAAAGGUUUUUCCGCGAGGGGGAUCCGGUUGUGGAUGGGCAUGCGUUCCAUUAGGCAGUUGGUGGGGUAACGGCUCACCAAACCGACGAUGGAUAGGGGAACCGGGAGGUUGGUCCCCCACACUGGUACUGAGACACGGACCAGACUCCUACGGGAGGCAGCAGUGAGGAAUAUUGGUCAAUGGGCGAGAGCCUGAACCAGCCAAGUCGCGUGAAGGAAGAAGGAUCUAUGGUUCGUAAACUUCUUUUGCAGGGGAAUAAAGUGCAGGACGUGUCCUGUUUUGUAUGUACCCUGAGAAUAAGGAUCGGCUAACUCCGUG
Molecule: ribosomal RNA, 501 nt
Filed under: uncultured bacterium
Lineage: Bacteria
Description: bacterial SSU rRNA
Rfam family: Bacterial small subunit ribosomal RNA
Source: RNAcentral